AGAUUGAACGCUAGCGGGAUGCUUUACACAUGCAAGUCGAACGGCAGCGCGGACUUCGGUCUGGCGGCGAGUGGCGAACGGGUGAGUAAUAUAUCGGAACGUGCCCAGUAGCGGGGGAUAACUACGCGAAAGCGUGGCUAAUACCGCAUACGCCCUACGGGGGAAAGGGGGGAUCGCAAGACCUCUCACUAUUGGAGCGGCCGAUAUCAGAUUAGCUAGUUGGUGAGGUAAAAGGCUCACCAAGGCGACGAUCUGUAGCUGGUUUGAGAGGACGACAGCCACACUGGGACUGAGACACGGCCCAGACUCCUACGGGAGCAGCAGUGGGAAUUUGGACAAUGGGGAAACCUGAUCAGCCAUCCCGCGUGUGCGAUGAAGGUCCUCGGUUGUAAGUAC
Molecule: ribosomal RNA, 396 nt
Filed under: uncultured soil bacterium
Lineage: Bacteria
Description: bacterial SSU rRNA
Rfam family: Bacterial small subunit ribosomal RNA
Source: RNAcentral